This 368-nucleotide ribosomal RNA is filed under the name uncultured bacterium. Its description in RNAcentral is "bacterial SSU rRNA". It matches the Rfam family "Bacterial small subunit ribosomal RNA", at positions 28 to 389 of the family's 1533-position model. The record is from RNAcentral.
GACGAACGCUGGCGGCGUGCUUAACACAUGCAAGUGGAGCGACGAACCGGGGGCUUGCCCCGGGGCAGAGCCGCGAACGGGUGAGUAACACGUGGGUAACCCACCCCGAUGACCGGGACAACCCGAGGAAACUCGGGCUAAUACCGGAUGUGCUCCUUGACCUCGAGGUCAAGGCGUAAAGAUAGCUUCGGCCUUCGCAUCGGGCGGGCCCGCGGCCCAUUAGCUUGUUGGUGGGGUAACGGCCUACCAAGGCGACGANGGGUAGCUGGUCUGAGAGGACGAUCAGCCACACUGGGACUGAGACACGGCCCAGACUCCUACGGGAGGCAGCAGUGGGGAAUCUUGCGCAAUGCGCGAAAGCGUGACGC